Molecule: ribosomal RNA, 501 nt
Filed under: Triticum aestivum (bread wheat)
Lineage: Eukaryota; Viridiplantae; Streptophyta; Magnoliopsida; Poales; Poaceae
Description: partial small subunit ribosomal RNA
Source: RNAcentral
AUGGAAUUGAACGGCAAGGAGCUCAUUUCCCGGUUCAAGAAGUCGAAUCGCUUGGACCGUAAAGACAAGAUUAUGUUCCCAGUUUUAGAGAACAUUGACAAGACAAAGCCUAAAAAAGGCAAUCAUUACUGGAUUUGUAACGUGAACAUAAGGGAUCGACGUUUUGAAGCUCUUGAUUCUUGGAGGAUGCUAAAAAACAAGGCUUUAGAUGUUUGUGCAAGGAAAAUGGUUGCAAGUUUUCGGUCUCUAUGGGAAGAGCAUUACGCCAGUUCCCGUGUCUCACUAGAUGACUUUGGGCUUACCAACAUCAACGUUCCAAAACAAAACAAUGAGUUCGACUGUGGUGUUUUUGCUCUGACACUAGCAAACAGUUGGGAGGCAAGGGUUGUUCCAAAUUUCAGAGCAGAGGAUAUUCCAAGCAUAAGGAAACAAUUGACUAACGCGUGGGUUGACAACGCCAACAACAAGGCUCCAUGGAAAACCAUACUCAAGUUAGCAUAG